GACGAACGCUGGCGGCGUGCUUAACACAUGCAAGUCGAACGGAGAGGCCCUGCUUUUGUGGGGUGCUCGAGAGGCGAACGGGUGAGUAACACGUGAGUAACCUGCCCUUGACUUUGGGAUAACUUCAGGAAACUGGGGCUAAUACCGGAUAGGAGCUCCUGCUGCAUGGUGGGGGUUGGAAAGUUUCGGCGGUUGGGGAUGGACUCGCGGCUUAUCAGCUUGUUGGUGGGGUAGUGGCUUACCAAGGCUUUGACGGGUAGCCGGCCUGAGAGGGUGACCGGCCACAUUGGGACUGAGAUACGGCCCAGACUCCUACGGGAGGCAGCAGUGGGGAAUAUUGCACAAUGGGCGGAAGCCUGAUGCAGCAACGCCGCGUGCGGGAUGACGGCCUUCGGGUUGUAAACCGCUUUCGCCUGUGACGAAGCGUGAGUGACGGUAAUGGGUAAAGAAGCACCGGCUAACUACGUG
This 468-nucleotide ribosomal RNA is filed under the name uncultured bacterium. RNAcentral's name for it is "partial 16S ribosomal RNA". It matches the Rfam family "Bacterial small subunit ribosomal RNA", at positions 28 to 507 of the family's 1533-position model. The record is from RNAcentral.